AAUUUUGGACAAUGGGGGAAACCCUGAUCCAGCCAUCCCGCGUGUGCGAUGAAGGCCUUCGGGUUGUAAAGCACUUUUGUCAGGGAAGAAAUCGUGCAGGCUAAUACCCUGUGCGGAUGACGGUACCUGAAGAAUAAGCACCGGCUAACUACGUGCCAGCAGCCGAGGUAAUACGUAGGGUGCAAGUGUUAAUCGGAAUUACUGGGUGGAAAGGGUGCGCAGGCGGUUUAUCAAGAAAUGUGUUAAAUCCCCGGGCUUAACCUGGGAAUUGCACUUUUAACUGAUAGGCUAGAGUAUGUCAGAGGGGGGUAGAAUUCCACGUGUAGCAGUGAAAUGCGUAGAGAUGUGGAGGAAUACCGAUGGCGAAGGCAGCCCCCUGGGAUAAUACUGACGCUCAUGCACGAAAGCGUGGGGAGCAAACA
RNAcentral lists this ribosomal RNA (422 nucleotides) under uncultured bacterium. RNAcentral describes it as "partial 16S ribosomal RNA". It matches the Rfam family "Bacterial small subunit ribosomal RNA", at positions 360 to 774 of the family's 1533-position model. The record is from RNAcentral.